Molecule: long non-coding RNA, 423 nt
Organism: Cyprinodon tularosa
Lineage: Eukaryota; Metazoa; Chordata; Actinopteri; Cyprinodontiformes; Cyprinodontidae
Exons: 4
Source: RefSeq, a predicted model, not a curated record
CUUACAUGACACUGGGGCUCGUCUGCACCACCUUCAGAGACAUCAUGUCCACUGUAGGUUUCAGGAGAAGGGUGCAUUUUCAGUGGCUUGACAGUGUUGCUAAUUGGGGCAGGUUUUCGUUGUCAUACAAGGAGGAGUUCUACACCAUGUACAGCAUUGAGACAUGCUGCGAAUGCAGAACUCUGUACAAAAAAAACACACCUGGAUAUGUUGGGAAAGGAAAAAGGGGAGUGCUGCAAGCUAUUUACUCUGAAGACCCUAACCCUGGAUACUGCAGUCACUUUUGCAGCCAAAUGCAAUAGGAUGUCAUCCAUGGAUCUGCCUGUCCAGAGGAGAAAACACCACGACACUGUGGGAUUUUUUACCAGCUCUUUUGUUUAAAUGUUUGUGUUUACAUGAGAAUAAAGUUUGAACUGAAAAAAA